UACGUAGGGUGCAAGCGUUGUCCGGAAUUAUUGGGCGUAAAGAGCUCGUAGGCGGUUUGUCGCGUCUGCUGUGAAAAUCCAGGGCUUAACCCUGGACCUGCAGUGGGUACGGGCAGACUGGAGGUAUGCAGGGGAGAACGGAAUUCCUGGUGUAGCGGUGAAAUGCGCAGAUAUCAGGAGGAACACCGGUGGCGAAGGCGGUUCUCUGGGCAUGUCCUGACGCUGAGGAGCGAAAGUGUGGGGAGCGAACAGG
Molecule: ribosomal RNA, 253 nt
Filed under: uncultured bacterium
Lineage: Bacteria
Description: partial 16S ribosomal RNA
Rfam family: Bacterial small subunit ribosomal RNA
Source: RNAcentral